This is a long non-coding RNA of Vespula vulgaris, 2068 nucleotides long. RefSeq lists it as uncharacterized. The record is from RefSeq and is a predicted model, not a curated record. Lineage: Eukaryota; Metazoa; Arthropoda; Insecta; Hymenoptera; Vespidae. The transcript is spliced from 3 exons.
UUGCGUUAGGGGUGGUUGGUCAAAGGGAUGUCGGACGGUGUAAGCGGAUGGUGGAUCAACGUUGAAUUUGUGCUCUAACGAGGGAAUAUUCCUUCGUAGAAAAGAUUUCGUCGCAGAAUCUUUUUCGAGUCCAUAUUUUUCCCCUCCGAAGAAUUAAAUGCAGUCGAGAAAGAAAAAUAAGGUUCAAUAAUUUCGUUGACCGUGUUCUUGGUUAUCGAACUAAUGUUAAUUUUGAUUGCAUUUAGUAUCAAAAAUUAUAUAUGUACCUUAAUAUGUGUCGCAAUACGGUGAAUGGGAUUGGGAACGAUAAGGAAAGGAGAGGUGUGUUAAUCGAUGUCGAAGAAGAAGAGGAAGGAAAAGGAGAUACGGAAGAUGAAGAAGUGCGAGAGAUAUACAAAACUAAUUAAAGGCGUAGGCAGUUCCAAUACCCAGGAAGUAUUGCAAAGGACCUGAAUCGACCGAUAUCCGGAUUGUAAUUCCAAAGAAGAUACGAGAAUUUUAACUACGCUCAACUUGACACUUAAAUAUGAGACAUCCAAAGAGAAACAUAUUUACCUGGUCUUCCUGUUCUUCUGUACAUCCGAUAACAAGUCCUACAUGGAUAAUACAAACGUCAGACCAUCAACCAGAUCAAGGUUUUUGAAGCAACCCAUCGGCGGCGAAUACGCUCUAAAUGGUAGCUGAUAAUCGUAUCAUCGAAUUGUCUGCUUUGUUUCACUGGAGAAAAACUAACGAAAAAAGACCUUUUUCGUUUUCGAAAUAAGAGAGAAGAUGUACGCAACAUGCAUGCAAUAUCGCGCCCUCGAUCCCGCCAACUUGAACUACCGCACAUGUAGGGAGAGAGGUAAUAAAUAAUAGAUUAAUAUGAUAAGGCUGGACGAUAUGUACGAGGGAAUGUAUUACGUCCGUGCAGAUCAUUAAAUCCCGAUCAAUACCAGUUAACAAGCUAAUUCGUAGACAUAGGAGAUCAUAUAUUUUUGUCAAAUAUCAAAAUGUCGUCCUUUAUAAUGCCUUACGAUGUCUGUGAUAAAUGUUGAAGCUAUUUUCUUCCAACACUAUCAUUCGUCUCAUUAUGUAUGAGAUCUCUUCGUUUUCUCGUUGGAUGACAUCACUAUCACUGCUAUCUCUCCCGAUUAAUAUUUAGUUUUUCUAACGUAUCCGUAUAAAUGUGUAUACCUGUAAUUCCCCUUCGGCAUUACAUAUGACUCGAAACUCUUGUUUGUAAAUUUUGCCAUGCUCAACGAAAAAGAAAUAAGUAAGUAAACGGUAUGGUAGUCUCAAAUUGUAGAUUAGGAAAUAACGAAGCGAUAUAUACAAAAUGAAUAUUACUAUUCUGAUUUCCUGAAUUAUUAGUCGAGGGAUCUAUCUGUACUACUCGAUGUUUCAAUACCAAGUGAGUUCAGCUUUGAAAAUCUCUUAAUCCCAGUUUUAUCAAUACUUGUUUACUUCACCAAAUGUCAGCAUGUUAAACGAGGUCUACUCGCAUACCAUUGCAAACAAGUCCAUCUUAUCUCAGAAUGUAAAACUGUCAAACGUAUCUGGUAAAACUGACUGAUAUUCAUUUCAUGUAUCUAGGAAUUAGAUUUCUUUUGCUACUUCAAUAGAAAAAUCCAGAGAGACGUGCAUGUCUUGCAAAAAAAUAUGGCGAUGCAAUCACUCGAUCUUCUCAAAUAACUCACAAACUCUGUAGUUCUUUCGGAGGGGAAAUACGUGAAAGAGAAGAAGAUAAUAUUGGCAAACGAAAAAAUAUGACGAAAGAUUUUCUUUGAGUACAUGUUUUUUAUUAUUUCUUUGAAUACAUAUUUUUAUCAUAUAAUAUUAUUGUAAAAUAACGGAAAUGAAUUCUUCGAUAACUUAAGAUAUAUAUUUUUUUACAAAAGAGAGGGUAAUAUUUGGAGAAAAUGUUUCCAAGGAAUCUGAAAGUAGAUACAACUUCCGACGAAAAAAUUUUUUUUCAUCGGAAGAUUUUACAAAAAGAAUUACAUAGUACGGAAAUUGUAAUAUCAUUAAUAUUUGGUAACAUUAGAAAACUGUUUUUAAGUAUGACUAGGGAUAAGAAAGAAAGAAA